RNAcentral lists this ribosomal RNA (589 nucleotides) under uncultured bacterium. Its description in RNAcentral is "partial 16S ribosomal RNA". It matches the Rfam family "Bacterial small subunit ribosomal RNA", at positions 356 to 1376 of the family's 1533-position model. The record is from RNAcentral.
UGGGAAUAUUGGACAAUGGGCGAAAGCCUGAUCCAGCCAUGCCGCGUGUGUGAAGAAGGUCUUCGGAUUGUAAAGCACUUUAAGUUGGGAGGAAGGGCAUUAACCUAAUACGUUAGUGUUUUGACGUUACCAACAGAAUAAGCACCGGCUAACUUCGUGCCAGCAGCCGCGGUAAUACGAAGGUGCAAGCGUUAAUCGGAAUUACUGGGCGUAAAGCGCGCGUAGGUGGUUCGUUAAGUUGGUGUNAAAAGCCCCGGGCUCAACCUGGGAACUGCAUCCAAAAACUGGCGAGCUAGAGUACGGUAGAGGGUGGUGGAAUUUCCUGUGUAGCGGUGAAAUGCGUAGAUAUAGGAAGGAACACCAGUGGCGAAGGCGACCACCUGGACUGAUACUGACACUGAGGUGCGAAAGCGUGGGGAGCAAAACAGGAUUAGAUACCCUGGUAGUCCACGCCGUAAAACGAUGUCAACUAGCCGUUGGAAUCCUUGAGAUUUUAGUGGCGCAGCUAACGCAUUAAAGUUGACCGCCUGGGGAGUACGGCCGCAAGGUUAAAACUUAAAUGAAUUGACGGGGUCAUAGCUGUUUCCUG